UCAAAAGGUGCCUUUCUCUUUCUCUUCCAAGUCUUCUUAUAGCUUCAGAUGACCUUUUCCAAAGCUAAAAGUCCAAACUACCCUUGCUGAGCAGAACCCAUUCAAAUAGCAAAAAUUAGGUUUUCCAACUGCGUGCAAAAAACACGGCCGUGUGGUGGAACACGGGCGGCCGUGUGGAUCCUCAUGAUUUAUUUAUUUUCGCAUCAGUU
Molecule: long non-coding RNA, 209 nt
Filed under: Lathyrus oleraceus (garden pea)
Lineage: Eukaryota; Viridiplantae; Streptophyta; Magnoliopsida; Fabales; Fabaceae
Description: Pisum sativum (pea) long non-coding RNA (PSAT_LNC034210)
Source: RNAcentral